UUGAGGUGUAGAGCAGAACUCCCUAGUGAAUACUCAGCACAGUUCUGAAGGUGAUUUCUGAAAAGCUCCAUCUGAGGUACAAACUAAACAGGAAAAAUUAUUUCCAACUCUAUUACUCAUUAUGACACAACUCUACACAGCCACUCUGGAGUGAACUGAAACUAAAGGAGUCAGCCAUGCUUAAUUAACUCUUAGAAAUGCUUCAAGGAGUUCUUCUGAAGUCACGCUGGGGCUCAGAGCCGGGGUUUGUUGUCACCUGUGACCUGUGCAAUUGCGGAAGGCCACCAAAAGGGUGUAUCCUGCCCUCUCCCUUCAUCUCAGCCCUCUCCAGCCUGUGGAUCGCACCGAUCUAAUGGUUACAGAGCUUCAGUGGAUUGACUUAAUGAAAUAAAUAUAUAUUAUUUUUCGUAA
This is a long non-coding RNA of Parus major (Great Tit), 411 nucleotides long. RefSeq lists it as uncharacterized. The record is from RefSeq and is a predicted model, not a curated record. The transcript is spliced from 2 exons. NCBI's taxonomy places the organism in Eukaryota, Metazoa, Chordata, Aves, Passeriformes, Paridae.